UCAAAAUUUUAGGGAAUGAACGUAUCCCGGAUUGUACUCACCUUCCAUAAUCAAUUUGGAUUCAAAUUGAGUAAAAUGUGGUUUACCUAUUUCUCGUCACCGAACCAGCAUUUCAUCGAACCGAUCAGACCUUCAGAGAACGGCAGCGAAGGAAGGUUUUGGCGAAGCCCCAUUUUCUUGUUUCAAGGAACAGACAAAACUAAAUUGCAGAUUCACUAAGUGACACUUCAGUUUCACCAUUAAAGAAUCCGACUUAGACAAAACCUCUCCUUGAAUCACACUUUGACAAAGGAAAAGCAGUAGUUCAAGAUGAUACAGAAGACAAAGGAAAAACAGUAGUUCAGGAAAUAUGGCAGAAGUUGAGAUGGAGGAGGAGGAGACUAGCGAACAAGCACAGGUCCACAAAGUUCGAAAGAAGAAGCGUCCAGCAAAACCUCAACCCCCGGGGCAGAAGCAGCCAGAAAAUGAACAAGGUCAUCUCUUCAAAAGGAUAUCACAAAGUCGAAAGGUCAUCCCUUGUGUGGUUACAUUGAUAUUAUUUUUUCAAUUAUUGUUUUUGCUUGACUAACAAUAUAUAUUCACAGCAUGAGACGUGGCAAUGAUUGCAAGCACUAGUUCGGGGGUGAGAAAGGACAAGGGGAAAGAUCCAAUGCCUAUAGAUAAGACAAUGAAGAGCCAAGAUUGUUCACCAAAGGAUGUGACUGAUGAGGGUGGUGAUAAGUCGCAGGCUGUCGACGGUGUAAGUCUGUGUGAUGGGAAGUUAUGGCGUUGUACGGACAAAGUGGGCUGAUACUACAAACUUUGAAGACAACGGAAUUUACCUAAUGCGGCAUUUAGAAACUUUCAUGGCGAUGCUUCUUCAAGUUGGAAAUGCAUGCGUGCCAGUUCGAUUAAUAAACAACUUCGAGUUAUGCGAGUGCGAUAUUGUGCUGCAUUGGUUAAUAGGGAAAGGUAAUGAAAUUGGUGACAAUAUUGCAAAGGAGGCCUCAGUGCAUUAUACAGAGGUUUGCAUGAACUCAAAAAUGAAUGUUAACUUGUUGUUGAUUGGUUAAACAAGCAUUUAUUUAUAUUUAUAAGGUUUGAGACA
Molecule: long non-coding RNA, 1087 nt
Organism: Salvia miltiorrhiza (redroot sage)
Lineage: Eukaryota; Viridiplantae; Streptophyta; Magnoliopsida; Lamiales; Lamiaceae
Exons: 8
Source: RefSeq, a predicted model, not a curated record